ACAGAGGGGGCAAGCGUUGUUCGGAAUUACUGGGCGUAAAGGGCGCGUGGGCGGCCUGUUAAGUCGAACGUGAAAUCCCCGGGCUCAACCCGGGAACUGCGUCCGAUACUGGCAGGCUUGAAUCCGGGAGAGGGAUGCGGAAUUCCAGGUGUAGCGGUGAAAUGCGUAGAUAUCUGGAGGAACACCGGUGGCGAAGGCGGCAUCCUGGACCGGCAUUGACGCUGAGGCGCGAAAGCGUGGGGAGCAAACAGGA
Molecule: ribosomal RNA, 253 nt
Filed under: uncultured prokaryote
Description: partial 16S ribosomal RNA
Rfam family: Bacterial small subunit ribosomal RNA
Source: RNAcentral